Sapajus apella (tufted capuchin) is the source of this 466-nucleotide long non-coding RNA. RefSeq lists it as uncharacterized. The transcript has 4 exons. Lineage: Eukaryota; Metazoa; Chordata; Mammalia; Primates; Cebidae. The record is from RefSeq and is a predicted model, not a curated record.
CCCAGAAGAUAAAAGCUCCUAGGAGUUACUGUGUCGUGUUUGGAUACUUGAAAGAAAAUGACACUUUGGAGCCUUAAAAAGUGGACUUUCCUUCUGAAGUACCCAGGAGAGUAGGUACAGAAGAUAUCAAGAUAUAUAAUUCCAGUUUUAAGGAGCUGACACGUUCAUAGCAGCACUACUUACAGUAGACAAAAAGGUGAAUAUGGCCCAAAUUCCAUCAACAGAAGAAUGAAUAAACAAAGUGUGGCAUAUCCAUACAAUGGGACUUUAUUCAGCCAUAGAAAGGAAUAAGGUGGAUACAUAUGCUACACAGCAUGGAUGAACCUUGAAAAUUUUAAGUGAAGGAAGCCAGACACAAAAGGAUAGACUUCUUCUUAUCUCCCUACACUACCCCUUGGAGAAAACCUUUUAUCAAGGAGAUACUGAAUAUCAUCACUGAUGUAAGCACUGCAACUAAAAUAGGUUG